Cydia fagiglandana is the source of this 3217-nucleotide long non-coding RNA. RefSeq lists it as uncharacterized. Lineage: Eukaryota; Metazoa; Arthropoda; Insecta; Lepidoptera; Tortricidae. The transcript is spliced from 2 exons. The record is from RefSeq and is a predicted model, not a curated record.
UGGUAAGCACUCGAAACCUACUACCGAAAUCCAAACCUUUGGCUAUGUUAAGGACUCGCUCUGACCUUAAAAGUGAGCAAGUUGUUUCGCCCCAUUUAUACAUCACGCACUUUACCAUACCGUUCAUAUCUCAUCUGUCGCCCCUACCAUACUUCACGCAUUACAAAUCCCGUUCUUCCAUCCCCGCAACAAAAUUAGUAGUGAAUACAGUCAGUGCUGUUCACCACGUACCGUGCAUAAAGUCGUGAUUGGAUAUUUUACCAUAAUAUCCAACACUCCAUACGAGACAACCGUGAAACAAAACGUUCUUGUGUAGGCGAGGCCUUGGAAAAUACCACCUUCUUGAAAACCUACCAAAACUUGUGUCAAAAUUCUAAACAUGCCAGCCUUAUUCGAAAUUCCCGCCAAUUCUGAAACCGAGAUUACAAACUGUAUUCUUGGCGAAAUAAGGUCUAAAAAAAAUAAAAAAACUACUUCAAAACAAUUUAUCUCAUUAAAUUUGAGUGCUAAAACCAAAUUUCGUAACAUUCCGAACCAUAAAACUAUAUUGUAUUUAACUAAAUAAAUAUCAAUAUUUAAACAAAUUACAAAAUGAUUUUCCAAAAACGAGCGUUUUUAUAAACGCUGAACUCGUUACGAUUUAAAGAAAACACUACUAAAGUUUACGCGUUUCCGAACGCACCCUUACUCUGUGUCAAAAAAAAACAAAUUCAUGACUUAACCUUACUUUGCACUUUAAACUACAAAGAACAAAACUUUGGUUGCAAAUACCAUUUUAAUUUGGAAAACUACCAUCUAAUAUGAAACACAAGUCUUACGUUGUGUGAAGUAUUAUUUACAACUCAAAAUAAGCUAAACAAAUGUCGAUUUCAGCGACAUAAAACUCGACACAGAGAUUACCGAAAACUACCAAAAAUACAGAUUACAUCAAAACCGUGCUGAAUUUGGAUAUUACCACCACAAAAACGAAAAGCAUCCAGCCAUUUCUACAACUGGACUGCCGGAUCACAGGAAUUUCUAAAUUUGAAAAUGAAAUCAUGUCUAUUGUUCUGGAACUAUAAGCGCUAACACGCCGAAGAAGAAUAUCUUCCUUUAAGAAGUUAAAUGAUCAUGAAACACCACAAGAAGCUUGCCGGACACUACUGCCAGACCAGACUUCCAUAAUAAACUGUUUCCCUGCGGCUAUGCGGAGAGUUCUGAAAAAUAAAAUGCCGACACCGCUUCCACAGCUCCUUGGACCUAGGAUGUGCUCCUGAUUGGCUUGACCAUCCUAAAUAAAUGUAUUUAUCAAUAAGCUGUGAAAUUAAGUGUUGCGUUUCAACUUUUAUUUACUAAAUAUGCUACUGCAUUGAAAUUUCUGGCGCUUCAUGUUUACAAAAACUGUGCUGUGUAUAGAAAAUAAAAUAAAAUAAUGUUAACAUAACUAUUGUUUUCCUUAACAAACUUGAAAUGUGGUGAAAUUAUUAUGCCUUCCGGCUUAACUGUUAAAACAUAAAAAAUUACAAAAUUCAUUAUAAAACAUUUAUGAAAGUGCAGUUCCAUCAAAUCUAUGAAAAUCACAAAACAACAUUCUACUAAAAUUCACAUAUUUUCCUCCUAAAUAUGAAAUUCUGGACUAAAUAUAGAUUACUACAAGUGAUCACAAGUGGCAAAAUUGUGUUCUCCUAUCUUAUGUUACAAAAUACAAAAUUCUUAUUUUUUCAUUGAAAUUUAAAUGUUAAAAGUGAAACCAAACGAAAUUCUAGUGUCAAAACUUCAAAAUAGUAUCCAAAUUUACUAAAAAUGCAACACGUGUUAUUGACAUCUGUCAAGUCAGCAAAAUUUUAUAACCUACAAAAUGUAUCAUACAAAAUUCUAUGAUUUUCAAAAAAAAAAUUCCAUGCAAAUGUGCAGAAAACAUCAUAAAUGUGAGCAAAUGCCCAAAGUAUGGUAUGCAAUACCCAAAAAAUCUUUGAAAUGUAACAAAAUACUCUACAAAAGGUGAGUUAAACAAAAUUAUUUUCUGGUGCAUAAAAAUAAGUCUAGACUUUUCCUGCAGCAAGUAAUUAUUUAGAAACCUGAAAAAUUCUUGGGCGCCAUUGUAACACGGGUGUUUUGAAAGGGGGUAAAAUAAAUGAAUGGAAAGCUCCGGCUUGUCAAAAAUAAAAACAGCCAUGUUAACAAAAUAAAAUUAAAUAAAAUAAACUAAAUGGAAACCUUGCUGUAGGAAAGCCAGGAGGAGAAACAAUUAAACAAAUUUAAAUCUAACAAACUUUAUUAACCUAAAGUUAUAGUGUAAAAGCUCAGUGGUAUAGCUGGGUCGCUUCACAGGUUCAUGUUAUAAGGUUUACACCAAUUAAUUAAUUACUAAAGACUAAAUUUCGAAAUACCUAAGUUUUAUGCACCGGAACUUUCAAAACUUUAAAUUAAAAUAACUAUUGCUCUAAAUCACAUUUUAAAUUUGUAGCCGAGCGCAGACGCAAUUUAAAAAUUAAAGAUGCAUCGGACCGACCUCAAAAACUGCUACCGGACCUGGAGCAGCGGGGAGUGACCUCGCCUAUCCCCGGGAAGCUGACUGCUAACCUGGUUGGAGCCGGCCAGUGCAGAUGACGUGGGUCAGAUCCCACAGCAUCAUUUUAAAACUUCAAAUUCGAAACAUCUUGAAACUUCUAGAAACAUCAAAAGCUUCUAGAAACAUCUAGAAACAUCCCGGCUCCUGCAAAGCGAGAAAAGGAAAUAUUAGCCGAUGCCCUUUAUGGCCGCUAGAGAAAAAAUGAAACAAUUCGAAAUUUAGCUCACCGCACUGGAAGCUGUUAGGACUUCUGGCGGAGCGCUCCCUUCCCUCGAGCAGGAGUCAACUCUGUAAAGAACCAAAACUUGGUUAAGAACAAACCCACAAUGUUUCGCGCCAUUGUGGAAUUGAUCACAACUAAAUUCCAUUUAUACUUACUCAGUGGAACACACCGAAGGACUCGAACUGCUUCCACCAUUUUGACCACCAUGUGGAAUGUGUGGUCUUAUCACAAAAUAGGGCUCAUGCGAGCGUGCGUCCCCGGAGGGGUCCACACAUCAAAAGUGCAUGUCACCUCAGAAUGACCUUCUCAUAUGUUGAGAACAAAAGGCAAAAAAACAAAAGUAGGGUGCCAAUCCCCUGAAGACACAAAUUCUUCGAAAAUUCUGAACUGAUUAUUUAGACAAAUUCACUCAUGAGCCUAAGAAAUAUAUUUUUAUCAUUAAA